AAUAUGUGACCAGGAACGCAAGGAAUAUCCUGGGGAACCUGUUUUGCUUUGUCAUCUGUGGGCUCAUCUGUCAUGUGGUUACUGGAUCACCAGCCAUCUGUCCCACAGGAGAGGUGACCAAAGAUUGAGAUCAAACAAUUCCAAUAGCAAUGAGGGCUUAUACCAAGGAUAUGCACUGAUUUCCUCUUUUGAAUUGGGGGUACUAAUUUUGAAUGGGGAAAAGGAAUGAGAAAUAGAGGUGAUUUAAAGCAAAAGAAAGAUGUAUGGCUUGGGACUGGAAUGUCACAAAACUAUGGAGUAGAGGUCCUGUAUGGUGGACCUACCUCCGACCAGGAUAAAGUUCUUGUGAAGAUGGUCUCCAACUUAUUUGGAGAUGCAUGGAAAAAUUUGAAGCAGUAUUUGUAGAACCAGGAUUUUGAUAUUAGCGUCCAUUCACCUUAUUUCCACUUUUUAUAGGAUGGAGACCUAUAAUAGCAUCUCCGCCAAUUGAAAAAGCAGGAGGGGAAAUUUGGAAAUGGUCCCUAACUGCUGAGGAUAAUAUAGAUUUAGGCACAGUUCCAACUGGCAUGAACCUUACGAUGAAUAACGAUUCAGAGCCAUCCUCUGUAGUACAGUCCAAAAAUUGUUUCAACAACGCUUAUCUCCCCAGAAUUAAAGGAAAAGGAGCUGGGAAAAAUGAGAACAGAACUUUUUAUCCAAGCAGCUGAUUCCUGGGUUCAGAGAUUGGAAAGAGUGGUCAGACCUGGUAAAGAUUAGGAUGAGGAAGACCAGGAUGUGGGAGAUGGACAAGUUUGGCACUGUGUGGUAACAGAAUCUGUUAAUCCUUUUGGGACCAAAAAAAGACACCCAAGGAAUAUGGACCUUUCAUGUAAGAAAUAGAGCAUGUCUUUGUUGGAUACAGGGGUUAAACUCUAAAAUAUUGACAAAAGGCUGGCAAGGAACCUUUGAAAAAAAAAAAAAACAAACAAACCACACUUUGGUAGUUGAAUGAGCAUAUGAUCCAGAUAUUAAAGGAUGUGUAUGGACCUAGAGUGUAACUAAUUGUAUACAUAAAUCAGGAAUUCACUAAUCCCAAAUUAUUGAUACUAGAACUGGGGAACUAUGGAAACCAGAUGUACCCCAAGAAAAGGUCCUUCUAACCAAAGCACCCCAAGAAUGUAUAACCCAAGGAGCUUGGUUUGAAAAUGGGACUGAGGUUCCCGCCAUAGAUAUAGGAACAACUGUGAAACUGUAUAACAUCACUGAAAAUAUGGACAUGUGUCAAUGAGAAUGUAAUUGGUGUACCCAGAUCAUGUGUUCAUUAGGGCAUUGUGCCGAAUCUGUGUUUGAAUGGGAAUUAGGAAAUGAAUGGAUAAUGGUAAAGGGACAUUGCCAUAACACCCAAGUUGAGGGAUUGGUAGUAUCUAGAUGUAAACGUCCUGAAGAUCAUCAAUAUGCUUUAAGAUGCCAUACCUCAUAUACAGGGAAUAUACAACAUACGGAAGGUAAAACAUGGGUUAAUAUCACCAAAGUGACCCAGGAACAUCCUAAUGUAACCAAUUGUUCCCCUGAACACAUGGAAUGGUUAAAUCCAGACCGUGACCACAGGCACAGAUACAUAUAUAAUGGGUCCAGAUUUAAAGUUUUUAUAAACUUAUUUCCUGAAGAUUGGAUGAUUGACACUAAUUAUCCUAACUGUUCUAAAUGGAUUGCACAAUAUAAAACAUAUUGGAUCUGGGAUGUGGAAAGAAAGAGGAAUGGUUGAGAGAUACCAUAUGGGAAACACUAAACACCAGAGUGGGAUUGGGAAACACAUGGAGCUUCUCUAACCUAAUGGAAAGAAUGAGAGAGACUUUUAAGCAACUGAUGCAGUCAGUACACACCGGAAACAAGGGGAAACAAAAGAUGGGAUAUUCUGUGAUGGAAUUGAGUGAAUUACUGGGGGAAAGUAUUCUGGAUAUUGUUAAACAAGUAAGGGAUAUCCACUCAGGAUUAUCCUGGGGAGAAGUUUGUAUAGAAGUCCAGGGAACCUUGGGAGAACAAUGGAAAGAUAUCUUGGAACAGAGCCAAAAAGGAACUUGGUCCCAGACUCUUAACUGGGAAUUGAGUUACUACUCUUAUAUUAAUCAAUCAUUCCAAGAUACCUGGUAGGUGCAAGUGCAUACAUGUACCAUACGCCAGUGCACUCUUGUCCUUUCCGGUAUAGCCAAUGGAAAGGCACAGGAAGUGUAUCCGGUAAUAUUUCCCAGCAUCUGGGAAAAUGAAACAGGGAACUAUGAAAUAGUACCAGAAGGAAAUGGAUUAUGGUGGAUAUCUGGAUUAGGAGGGAAGCAAAUAUUAGGAGCCCAAUGGGAAUAGGGUACCUUGGUUAAAGAAGGAAACUGGAAUUUGGAAUGGAAAGGAGGUAAUCUCACCAGGAAUUUACAGUGGAAAAAUGUUUGGUGGGAAUUAUAUGAAAUAAACACAGAUAUAUGUUGGCAUCAAAAUAAAAAAGGGUAAUGUAACAACCACCAACAAAACCUGGUUCAUGAACCAAGGGAUGUAAUGUUUUUGUGGAAAUAUAAUUUAUUUCCAGUAUGAACAGUAUCAAUGGCACUGUCAGAUGACUAAAACCUUUAUGACUCACCUUAGAUUAAUAUUGCCAAAUUUGAGGGAAAUAGAGUGAAAUGAUACAGAUUGGAAUAUGGAGAUACAAACUAAAAGGCAUACUAGACAAAAUAGAAUGAUCAAUUAGACUGGUAAUAUCUGUAAAAGGUAUGCUUGCUCAAAAGUAUAAAAUUGUUGAAAAAGCUGUAGGAAAAAAUAAGAUCUCAAAUGUGUGCUUGGUACACUGUUGUAUGUCAAGUAACAACAUUGAAUGGAGUUGAAUGGGCAAUGUUAUUUUGGAUUUCUGGAACUGUCAUAUUAUUCCUUGUACGUUUCUCUUGUGGAGAUCAGAUGCGUAAGCACUAAAAGAAAAAACAAGCUUUGCGGAAAAUUUACAAGAUUGAGUUGUUGGAUUAUGCUACUAAUUAUCUUAAAAUAAUCCUUUAAAUUUUAUAGAAACCAGAAAAGGAGACACAUGAUCUAACAGUUAGCGUUCAAAUUGUGGGUAUGAUUGAUGCAAUAUUACAAUUAUGUUUGGUAAUUGAAUAUUAAAUGGGGGACUGUUGAGAUAGUGCCAAAUUGGUGUGGCCAUACUGAAUGAAUGGUGUGAGCAUAACUUGACAUGACUUAAACAUGGCUGAAUGGCUGCAGUGGAUCCUGGGAGCAGGUUCCCUUUAAGCAGAAGCAAAUUUGAUAAAGGACUGGCAAAGUCUGCACGUGUGAUCUAUAUUGAACCUAUUGGUUGGCAAAUAUAGGCCAAUGCACAAGUAAAUAUUGCAUGUAUUAAAUUCCAACAUGGAGCACAGGUCGACCUGGUUAUAGUGACCUUACAGCAAGGACACCACGCAGAGAGCCAGAGUGAAUGAUUGAUGAGUGAGUAAACAUGGGGUGAUCUGCGUUUGGGACCACCACCACCCAGCCCCUUUAAAAUACUAAUCUGGUAAAAAUUAGUAACCACAUGCCCACUGGGCAUGCUUUUAAGAAAUGUGACUCCUUCGAGGAAAGAGUACAAGAAUCAAGCAAAGUAAAUUACUGUGGUUGGGAUUCCUUAAUGGACGCUUGAAGAAGCAACACUGUAAGACAACAUAGCCAAAACUCUGCUCCAUGGGCUUGAGUAGGACUGUGAACCAGAGGGGUCUCAUGGCCACCAAGGCCUUGCCUCAAGGGAAUCCAAGACAGACCAGAGGGCUGAGAAGAACAGACCAGGAGGGAAGAAGCUGUCUAUAAAAUUGGUAACCACGUUCUCCGUUUGCCAAGCAGGAACUGCGUGAGGCUAGCGCAGGGCCUGUUUGUAUAUGUUUGAGAAUGAGAGACUCGCUAAGAGGAAUGUAUAGCUCUUAAUGUCUAACAUUGGAGUUAUGUGCUUAAUAUAACCCUUUACUGCUUGUAUCAUUCCUUCUCAAUAAAAUGCUGUGUAUUGAAGAUAAUUACUGUGGACCUUUUUCACUGAUAUGACAGUAAUCUGCUCUACCAGGAGCCAGUAAAGAUCCAUUUCAGGGGCAGUAGCACCGCCUGUUGUCAACACUAAUGUAUGCUGAUAUUAUCCACUUAAAAACAACAUUCUUCAUUAGCGUAAAUCAGUUUCCUCUCAAACAUCUUACCCAAUUGGAAAUGAUGACUUGCAUGGUGACUUUAGUAUGCAGUAAUAUUUCUUAAAAUGUAUACAGCAUCUAUUAUUCAGUAGAAUUUUCCAAAUAUUAUGCAGCACAGCUGAACUCUAGCAACUUCUAGAGAGGACAAUUGAAAUUAAUUGUUUCAUAGUACUGCAAAGGUGUGCUAGGAAGGCAGAGAAAGAAAGGAUAGAAAUUUUAAUACAGUGACUUUCAGUUCUGAGCAGUAGCAGAAUCAUCUGAACUUAGUUUUAAAAUCCAAAGAUACAACAGACAAUGUGGGGCAGAGAGCUUUCGGUGCUUACACCAUAUGGAGCAGUUGCUUAAGAUAGACCCUGUCAUAUAUAGAGCUGUGCAUUAGAGCUUGCUAAAUUGAAAUGAAAUUCUGAAGAGAGUUUUGAGUCAAAAAAAAUAAAAUGAUCCGUGAGGACAGCCUGUCAGAAAUGAGUAGUAAGACAAUUAAAGUUCCAUUUGAAGAGGUAUUUCAAAAUAACAUUUAAUAUUGUUAAAAGAAUUACAUUCAAAAAGAUAACAUUGAAUACACUUAAGGCCUUUAUUUCAUGUACCAUGUUUCAACUUCUGCUGUUCUUUGGCAGUAAUCUGUCAGAAAUACUAUCACCUUUUUCUUCUGGAAAAUUAAGCUUUAAGCCUAUGUGACUUUGAAGUUGCAGUUUCUAUAAAAACAACUGAACUAGUGUUUCUGCUUUACCUCACUAAUUUUGCAAAGAAAGUAUCAUUACUGGACACAUACUAAGCAAAAGUAUUCUUUUUACUGUUCCUAACGUCAGGCUUUAUGCUAAAGUUUCUUAGGGCUUGUUUAUACCCAAGUUAUAUACUGCAUUAUCCAUACCAAUAUGGCUAACGUGGUAUAAUCUCCCUAGUAUGGCUGCAUUCAUCAGUCUAAUCUACACAGCAUCAGAUCAACACAGCAUGGCAAUGCGCACUAGAGGAUGUGAUUUCUAAAGCGUACCAACAUUUUGUGCACUAACUGACUCAUACAGACCCUGAUGGCACACACUAAAAGUUCUCUAAGUGCACGUUAACAUAGUGAAACAGCACAUUAGGAAACUUUUAGUGUGCACCAGCUGGGUCUACACAGUCCAGUUAGCAUGCAACACAUUAGUGCGCUCAAGAAGUCACACACCUAGUGCAUAUUGCUGUACCAUGUAGGCAAGCCCUUAGAGUGCUUUAAAUGGAUACAACUAUUCCCAUACAAAAAAAGAGGAAUAAGUUAUACUGGAAUAAAAGUAUUUAUCUGCAUCCACACUAACGUAACUAUUUCAGUAAAAAACCCAACACCGCCCAUAACCACACUAGCACACAGACGACCAGUGAGACGGUCUGUAUCCCUAUGUUCACCCCCUUUUACAAAACUAUAAUGGAUUUUGUACAAAGUAUGCCUUGUGAGGUAUCAUUUGAAAACUCACAAUGUGCUGAUCAUUAUUGUCCUGGUACAAUGUGUGUGGCAGCAUUGUAUGUAAAGUUAAGAUUCCUCUGUAUAACGGUACUGAGACAUAUUUCAUGUUUAGAAAAGCAGGCACCAACAGGUUCCUUGGAGACAAAAAGCAAACUGUCUCUGCCUCAGCCAGGUGUCAGUGAAGUCAAAUGGACUAUCACCUGGUUAAGCAGCCAUUCUUUGGCAGGAAAAAGGGUGCGAGUAAAAAAUUUACAUCUUGGCAACAACAGCUGGAGGUUCCCAUCUCCCCAGACUUGUCUCCUAAACCCUAACUAGAGAUGAUUUUCAAAGAAAUAGAGCUGCAAGAAUGGGAAACAGAGGCACCCAAAUCUCUCUCCCUUCAUGUCUACUCACACAUCAUCAUCAACAGCACCUGAAGGACAAGGAAAUUAACAUUGAAUUGAGGGAAAGAUCCUGGCUGAAAGGAUUUCAGCCAUAUGACUGCUAAAGCAUGUGAUGAGAGAAACCUUUGCUUGUAUUUACUUAGCUAGUUAAGUUAGGUAUUAGUUUGCAUUUUGCCUUUAUUUCUUUGUAACCAAUUCUGACUUUUAUGCCUCAUUACUUGUAAUCUCUUAAAGUAGCUUUCUGUAGUUAAUAAACUUGUUUUUUUUUUUUUAUCUAAACCAGUGUGUUUGGAUUGAAGUGUUUGGGAAACUCCAUUUGUUAUAACAAGAUUUGCACAUAUCUUCUAUUAAUGAAAUGAUGGACUUUAUAUGAGCCUGCAUCAUCCAGGAGAGAGCUGGGCAUUACAAGAUGCACAUUUCUGAGGGAAAGUCUGGGACUGGGAGUUUGCUGGUGUUGUCCGCAGCAUAAUUCAUGGGUGGCUGACUAUAGCACUCAUACAGUAUAGCUUGGAGUGAUUUACUUGCUGGAGGCUGUGUGGGCAGACCAGGAGUGGCGACUCUCACAGCAAAGCAGUGUAAAAGGUACCCCGGGUUGAAGGGGACAUAGCUGUUCAUCAGUCCAGAUUGUCUGGGUAAAUGUCACAACCAGGCCUCAGACACUUAAAAAUAUAAACAUGUUUUCUUCUUAAAGGUCAGCUGACGCUGUAGUGCAAUUAAAUCAUUCUACGACUAUGGGUCGGUGCCCCCAGACACUUCUCUAGAGGUCCUUAAGGACCAUGAAAGCAAGCAGAAUGCCAUACGGAAGUUGUGGAGAUUUAGAGCUAAGUGAUAUGCAAGGGGACCUUGUCUUUACAAAGUGGCCUGCAAAAAUCAAGUAUGAGAGAGAACCUGUGGUGGAGUGGUUAAUGCUAUUUGGCUGCUAUGUGGGGAAACAUGUUUGAAAGUGACAGAACUCUAAUACUUGUGACAGCUGAAGCUUGGGAAGUCAAAGGUGAUAGUCCCUGUCUCACAGGACACAGAAAGGAGAGCAACAGAAAGAUGAAAAACCCAGGGAGACCAGUCCAGCACAUAAGUAAUGCUGGUACUGUAAGUGCAAAAGGAAUCUGUUCAGGCAGCUGUUUAGAUCUAUAACUGAACUGUGGACCUAGAAUGAAAGAUCUGGUGGUGAACCAUCCCGGACAGCCCUCUUGACAUAAGCACUUCAUCUAAGUUAGGCAGGAGAAGAAUCCCUCAUUGAAAACAAAGGGUGCCUCUCGACACAAAAAUUAGUUUACAAAUAAAAGCAUCAAAAUAUCCUGAGUGUAGCCUUAUUUUCUGAUUACAUUGAAUGAAAAAAUUUUAGAAGUAACAUAUGUACUUAACUUUAAUAAAUGUUCUGCUCCAGCUUGAGAGCGAUUUAUGAUUGAGAAGAGAUACUACAUCUUUGUACCCGUGAUUAGGCCAACAGCUUUCACAGAUCUAAUUUGUCAAUAAGUUACAUUUGGAAAGAAGUCUGAUAAUUCACAUUCAUAAUGAGUAAACAAUACUCCACUUAAUUUUAUUUUUACUAGUUGACUUAAUUGUACCAACGUUUACAAAUUAUUAAAGUUCAACAUUGGACAAUAAGUAAAUAACUAUUCAUUAGUCAAUGGUAUAGCACAAUUACAGUAAAGCAUGUUUUGCACAUUUCACCAUUUUAUUUUGUAUCAAAACAGAUGAAAAACCUAAGUUUAUCUGGAGGCCAACAAGAAUUGCAGAGUAGCCUCCCGUGUUUCUCUAUAAAUCUUG
This is a long non-coding RNA of Dermochelys coriacea (leatherback sea turtle), 7742 nucleotides long. RefSeq lists it as uncharacterized. Lineage: Eukaryota; Metazoa; Chordata; Testudines; Dermochelyidae. The transcript is spliced from 2 exons. The record is from RefSeq and is a predicted model, not a curated record.